CAAUAGCGUAUAUUAAAGUUGUUGCAGUUAAAAAGCUCGUAGUUGGAUUUCUGCUGAGGACGAUCGGUCCGCCCACUGGGUGAGUAUCUGGCUCGGCCUUGGCAUCUUCUUGGAGAACGUUGCUGCACUUGACUGUGUGGCGCGGUAUCCAGGACUUUUACUUUGAGGAAAUUAGAGUGUUUCAAGCAGGCGCACGCCUUGAAUACAUUAGCAUGGAAUAAUGAGAUAGGACCUUGGUUCUAUUUUGUUGGUUUCUAGAGCUGAGGUAAUGAUUAAUAGGGAUAGUUGGGGGCAUUCGUAUUUAACUGUCAGAGGUGAAAUUCUUGGAUUUGUUAAAGAUGGACUACUGCGAAAGCAUUUGCCAGGGAUGUUUUCAUUGA
This 380-nucleotide ribosomal RNA is filed under the name uncultured eukaryote. RNAcentral's name for it is "partial 18S ribosomal RNA". It matches the Rfam family "Eukaryotic small subunit ribosomal RNA", at positions 592 to 976 of the family's 1831-position model. The record is from RNAcentral.